RNAcentral lists this long non-coding RNA (260 nucleotides) under Sus scrofa (pig). RNAcentral describes it as "lncRNA (ENSSSCG00045023505.1)". Lineage: Eukaryota; Metazoa; Chordata; Mammalia; Artiodactyla; Suidae. The record is from RNAcentral.
AUGGUCCUCGUGGAUGAGGGAACUGAUGAAAACGGUGUGUGUACAGAAAUCAUCACCCCAGUGACGAACAGUCAGGGUGAGAAGAAGAAGGUGGGUCUUCCUUGCUGGCAUUGGUUGGCGAGCAGCCGGAUCCAGGGCUCCUUUUGGAAAGUGGGUUGGGGGUGUAGAGCACGAGGCUCUUUCCCAGUCAUAGCGAUGCCCAAGUCGUACAUGCCCUGGACGCAAGUCUAUCCUGUAGAUGGUGCUUUGUGGUAAGAUAC